CCCCAAUUUCCCUCAGAACCUGACAGCGCCGGUGUCCUCGUUCACAAAACACGCUUUGGCUUACUGAGGAUUGAGGCCAGCCAGAGAUGACGACUUCUACUGUUCUUUGUACACUCUCCAACACUUUUACCUCUUCUCUCUACUAAUUGCUAAACCGUCUCUUCAUUUUCCCGCCAAUUGGCCUUCAUUUUCCGGAGACUAGGCGAUGGUCACUUCGGGAGUCGUUCAAGAAAUUAUCUCAAAGCUCUCCUUACAUAAACCCUCUCUUCAUUUUUUGUUGCACUGAUUUGCUCAUCCAAUAUCUACAGGCUAGCGGCAAUUACCCAAGGCAAGUUUUGCAAAGACAUUGCGAAUUUUGUUUAACAAGAAGAGGAUGCUAAGUUUUCAGGCAAGAUGUUGCCAUUGUUAAAAGGCUCUUAAUCACAUAUGGGAUGUCUUAAGCAAUGUUCCAAGCUUUCAGUCAGAAUAUGAGAUUAUAGUCUGCCAUCUAUUGGUAAUUACCUAUUUUACUUGAGGAAUCGCAUUUAUUGCGGUGAGUUCUUUUUACAUUAAUUAGAGAGAUCUUCAAGACGAGUUAUCAUUGCAUCAUGAUUGGACAAGUACUUUCAACAUUUUUUUUUCAUUUGGCAGUCUUUCAAAAGUUUGUUCUUAUAUCAAGUUUCUGUCACUGUGGUCUACUUUUGUUAUACAUGUAGAUGAGAUUAAUGCUUGGGAUCUAUGUCAAGCUUGCAGAGCUUGAAACAAAGGGUUAACUCUUGUGUGUAUUCGUAUGUAUUAAUUGUCUGAGUGUAAUGGGUUAACUCUUUAUGGGAUCGUAAGUUACAUAUAGCAUCAUUCAUUGCUAUCUUCAUUUGCAUUUUUUUUUCCUAUUUACUCCUGCCCAAAUUCCCAUCCUGUGGUACCAUGGAUUCCUAAUCUUUUUAGGUUGAUUUGACUUUGUUGCAAUAAAAUAAUUUAGUCUUUGUGAGAAGACUAUGCUCGUGCCCAUUUUAUUCCUUUUAUUCCAUUUGCCCAUUGACUGCUGAUUAGGAACCAGAUGAUAUUCUGGAAACAAGUUUGGAAUACUCGCAAGAUCAAUACGAAGGGAAUGAAGAUGCUGCAAGUGCGCUGAAGCGUCUCAAACAAAAAGUAGAUGGAUAUGAAGAAGGUUCAACAGCUCAUACAAGACGCUAUUGAUCCGGAGCGCCUGUGUCAUAUGUUUCCUGGAUAUGGGGAGCUCGGAUGCAUAUAUGACUAUAAGUUGUUUAUGUAAUCUGAGACUGUAUUUGGUGUUAUUGGUGGGUGUAUGGUAACAUUUUGAAGAGAGAAAUUGAAAAUAAAGAAAAUGUCAAAUGUAUAAGUUUAUGUUCCUAUC
Molecule: long non-coding RNA, 1354 nt
Organism: Hevea brasiliensis (rubber tree)
Lineage: Eukaryota; Viridiplantae; Streptophyta; Magnoliopsida; Malpighiales; Euphorbiaceae
Exons: 3
Source: RefSeq, a predicted model, not a curated record